UGAUAGUGACAAUCUUGAUGCUAGUGACGAUAUCGAUCGUGAUUUGCGUCUGAAUAGCUAAUUGGUGAGGCAAUAGCUUACUAAGGCGAUGAUCAAUAGACCAGCCACAUUGAGUCUGAUACAUGACCUAGACUCUUAUGGGAGGUAGCAAUAUGGAAUUUUCUGCAAUGGGCGAAAGCCCGACGGAGCAAUGUCGCGUGGAGGUAGAAGGGACACGGAUCGUGAACUAAGUUUCCCGGAGAAGAAGCAAUGAUGGUAGCUUGGAAUAACAAUUGGCAUUGGAACGACGGCGGGGGAGCAAAUCCAAUUAGAAAAACUCACAUUGGUCUGAGGGAUAAUCA
Molecule: non-coding RNA, 341 nt
Filed under: Solanum lycopersicum (tomato)
Lineage: Eukaryota; Viridiplantae; Streptophyta; Magnoliopsida; Solanales; Solanaceae
Description: Bacterial small subunit ribosomal RNA
Rfam family: Bacterial small subunit ribosomal RNA
Source: Rfam by way of RNAcentral